GACGAACGCUGGCGGCGUGCCUAAUACAUGCAAGUUGAGCGCUGAAGGUUGGUACUUGUACCGACUGGAUGAGCAGCGAACGGGUGAGUAACGCGUGGGGAAUCUGCCUUUGAGCGGGGGACAACAUUUGGAAACGAAUGCUAAUACCGCAUAAAAACUUUAAACACAAGUUUUAAGUUUGAAAGAUGCAAUUGCAUCACUCAAAGAUGAUCCCGCGUUGUAUUAGCUAGUUGGUGAGGUAAAGGCUCACCAAGGCGAUGAUACAUAGCCGACCUGAGAGGGUGAUCGGCCACAUUGGGACUGAGACACGGCCCAAACUCCUACGGGAGGCAGCAGUAGGGAAUCUUCGGCAACGGACGAAAGUCUGACCGAGCAACGCCGCGUGAGUGAAGAAGGUUUUCGGAUCGUAAAACUCUGUUGGUAGAGAAGAACGUUGGUGAGAGUGGAAAGCUCAUCAAGUGACGGUAACUACCCAGAAAGGGACGGCUAACUACGUG
This 497-nucleotide ribosomal RNA is filed under the name uncultured bacterium. Its description in RNAcentral is "partial 16S ribosomal RNA". It matches the Rfam family "Bacterial small subunit ribosomal RNA", at positions 28 to 507 of the family's 1533-position model. The record is from RNAcentral.